GGAUAAGAUGUGACCCAUAUUUCUUUUCACUCCUCAGUAAACUGUUAUUUUGUUCUUUUCUCAGGAAAACCCUCUAUGAUUAGUGUUUGCUGAUCUGUCUGUGGAUCUGCCAGCAGCCUUGUGACUUGCAUUCUCUUUAAGAUUUCUUUAACAAGCUUAAGCCAUUGCAGACUGCGGGGAAAAUCACGCAAAGUUGGCAUCUUCUUUCUG
RNAcentral lists this long non-coding RNA (210 nucleotides) under Rhinopithecus bieti (black snub-nosed monkey). Its description in RNAcentral is "lncRNA (ENSRBIG00000046003.1)". The record is from RNAcentral. Lineage: Eukaryota; Metazoa; Chordata; Mammalia; Primates; Cercopithecidae.